RNAcentral lists this ribosomal RNA (440 nucleotides) under uncultured bacterium. Its description in RNAcentral is "partial 16S ribosomal RNA". It matches the Rfam family "Bacterial small subunit ribosomal RNA", at positions 338 to 795 of the family's 1533-position model. The record is from RNAcentral.
CCUACGGGCGGCAGCAGUAGGGAAUUUUGCGCAAUGGGCGAAAGCCUGACGCAGCAACACCGCGUGAAUGUUAAGCCCUUCGGGGUGUAAAGUUCUGUAAAUAGGGACGAAUUUUGACUGUACCUAUAAAGGAAGCACCGGCUAACUCCGUGCCAGCAGCCGCGGUAAUACGGGGGGUGCAAGCGUUAUCCGGAUUUACUGGGUGUAAAGGGAGCGUAGACGGCAAGGCAAGCCAGAAGUGAAAGGGCAGGGCUCAACCCUGUACAUGCUUUUGGAACUGUGGUGCUAGAGUGCAGGAGAGGUAAGUGGAAUUCCUAGUGUAGCGGUGAAAUGCGUAGAUAUUAGGAGGAACACCAGUGGCGAAGGCGGCUUACUGGACUGUAACUGACGUUGAGGCUCGAAAGCGUGGGGAGCAAACAGGAUUAGAUACCCUUGUAGUC